Molecule: ribosomal RNA, 492 nt
Filed under: uncultured bacterium
Lineage: Bacteria
Description: partial 16S ribosomal RNA
Rfam family: Bacterial small subunit ribosomal RNA
Source: RNAcentral
AGUGAACGCUGGCGGUAGGCCUAACACAUGCAAGUCGAACGGCAGCACAGUAAGAGCUUGCUCUUACGGGUGGCGAGUGGCGGACGAGUGAGGAAUACAUCGGAAUCUACUUUUUCGUGGGGGAUAACGUAGGGAAACUUACGCUAAUACCGCAUACGACCUACGGGUGAAAGCAGGGGAUCUUCGGGCCUUGCGCGAUUGAAUGAGCCGAUGUCGGAUUAGCUAGUUGGCGGGGUAAAGGCCCACCAAGGCGACGAUCCGUAGCUGGUCUGAGAGGAUGAUCAGCCACACUGGAACUGAGACACGGUCCAGACUCCUACGGGAGGCAGCAGUGGGGAAUAUUGGACAAAGGGCGCAAGCCUGAUCCAGCCAUACCGCGUGGGUGAAGAAGGCCUUCGGGUUGUAAAGCCCUUUUGUUGGGAAAGAAAAGCAGCAGGUUAAUACCCCGCUGUUCUGACGGUACCCAAAGAAUAAGCACCGGCUAACUUCGUG